RNAcentral lists this ribosomal RNA (449 nucleotides) under uncultured bacterium. Its description in RNAcentral is "bacterial SSU rRNA". It matches the Rfam family "Bacterial small subunit ribosomal RNA", at positions 28 to 457 of the family's 1533-position model. The record is from RNAcentral.
GAUGAACGCUGGCGGCGUGCUUAACACAUGCAAGUCGAGCGAAGCACUUUAUUUGAUUUCCUUCGGGACUGAUUAUUUUGUGACUGAGUGGCGGACGGGUGAGUAACGCGUGGGUAACCUGCCUUGUACAGGGGGAUAACAGUUGGAAACGGCUGCUAAUACCGCAUAAGCGCACGGCAUCGCAUGAUGCAGUGUGAAAAACUCCGGUGGUAUAAGAUGGACCCGCGUUGGAUUAGCUAGUUGGUGAGGUAACGGCCCACCAAGGCGACGAUCCAUAGCCGACCUGAGAGGGUGACCGGCCACAUUGGGACUGAGACACGGCCCAAACUCCUACGGGAGGCAGCAGUGGGGAAUAUUGCACAAUGGGCGAAAGCCUGAUGCAGCGACGCCGCGUGAGCGAAGAAGUAUUUCGGUAUGUAAAGCUCUAUCAGCAGGGAAGAUAAUGACGG